Molecule: ribosomal RNA, 337 nt
Filed under: uncultured bacterium
Lineage: Bacteria
Description: bacterial SSU rRNA
Rfam family: Bacterial small subunit ribosomal RNA
Source: RNAcentral
AGGGUUUGAUUCUGGCUCAGGAUGAACGCUAGCUACAGGCUUAACACAUGCAAGUCGAGGGGAAACGACAUUGGAAGCUUGCUUCCGAUGGGCGUCGACCGGCGCACGGGUGAGUAACGCGUAUCCAACCUGCCCACCACUUGGGGAUAACCUUGCGAAAGUAAGACUAAUAUCCAAUGAUAUCUCUAGAAGACAUCUGAACGAGAUUAAAGAUUUAUCGGUGAUGGAUGGGGAUGCGUCUGAUUAGCUUGUUGGCGGGGUAACGGCCCACCAAGGCGACGAUCAGUAGGGGUUCUGAGAGGAAGGUCCCCCACAUUGGAACUGAGACACGGUCCAA